CAGCAUUAGGAUUGAAAGAGGAAGAAGAUUCAGAAUCUCCUUGGGAUUCAGAGUGUGCCACUGAAAGUCUCCCCAAAGGAUCUGCCAGGCAUAAACCUGCAGCCACAAAUCAAACAAUAAAAGAGAGUAUUUCAAUGGGACAAAAUGAAGAUACUUCUGGUUGGGAUUCUCCCAGUACUUCUCCAAAAAAUGAGAGUUACAGAAGGUGCAAGGAUUUGAAUUUUAAUGAGAAUUAUCUUUGCCAGUCCCUGCCACUGACCAAAAAUCAGUCAGGAUCCACAGAAUUUGGAAAGAUUCCUUUAAAAGAAGAUGAAGCAGCUGGAGCUGGAAGUGGCCCUGAGACUGGG
RNAcentral lists this long non-coding RNA (347 nucleotides) under Vombatus ursinus (common wombat). RNAcentral's name for it is "lncRNA (ENSVURG00010023768.1)". The record is from RNAcentral. Lineage: Eukaryota; Metazoa; Chordata; Mammalia; Diprotodontia; Vombatidae.